CCUACGGGAGGCAGCAGUAGGGAAUCUUCCGCAAUGGACGAAAGUCUGACGGAGCAACGCCGCGUGAGUGAUGAAGGCUUUCGGGGCGUAAAACUCUGUUGUUAGGGAAGAACAAGUGCUAGUUGAAUAAGCUGGCACCUUGACGGUACCUAACCAGCGAGCCACGGCUAACUACGUGCCAGCAGCCGCGGUAAUACGUAGGUGGCAAGCGUUAUCCGGAAUUAUUGGGCGUAAAGCGAGCGCAGGUGGUUUCUUAAGUCUGAUGUGAAAGCCCACGGCUCAACCGUGGAGGGUCAGUGGAAACUGGGAGACUUGAGUGCAGAAGAGGAAAGUGGAAUUCCAUGUGUAGCGGUGAAAUGCGUAGAGAUAUGGAUGAACACUAGUGGCGAAGGCGACUUUCUGGUCUGUAACUGACACUGAGGCGCGAAAGCGUGGGGAGCAAACAGGAUUAGAUACCCUGGUAGUCCACGCCGUAAACGAUGAGCGCUAAGUGUUAGACGGUUUCAGCCCUUUAGUGCUGAAGUUAACGCAUUAAGCACUCCGCCUGGGGAGUACGGCCGCAAGGCUGAAACUUAAAGGAAUUGACGG
RNAcentral lists this ribosomal RNA (588 nucleotides) under uncultured Bacillus sp. RNAcentral's name for it is "bacterial SSU rRNA". It matches the Rfam family "Bacterial small subunit ribosomal RNA", at positions 338 to 916 of the family's 1533-position model. The record is from RNAcentral. Lineage: Bacteria; Bacillati; Bacillota; Bacilli; Caryophanales; Bacillaceae.